This 373-nucleotide ribosomal RNA is filed under the name uncultured fungus. RNAcentral's name for it is "partial small subunit ribosomal RNA". It matches the Rfam family "Eukaryotic small subunit ribosomal RNA", at positions 30 to 432 of the family's 1831-position model. The record is from RNAcentral. Lineage: Eukaryota; Fungi.
GCUUGUCUCAAAGAUUAAGCCAUGCAUGUCUUAGUGUAAAUAACUCUUAUGAAACUGCGAAUGGCUCAUUAAAUCAGUUAUCAAAUACGUGAUGGUCGCCUACUACAUGGAUAACCGUAGUAAUUCUAGAGCUAAUACAUGACUAAAAGGGCUAGCCCUGCAUUUAUUAGAUACAACCAACCCUUCGGGUUUUGGCGAAUCAUAAUAACUGAGCGGACCGUAUUCGUACGGCGUUUCUUAUUAAUUUCUGCCCUAUCAGCUUUCGAUGGUAGGGUAUUGGCCUACCAUGGCGUUAACGGGUAACGGAGAAUUAGGGUUCGAUUCCGGAGAGGGAGCCUGAGAGAUGGCUACCACAUCCAAGGAAGGCAGCAGG